RNA transcript from Bombus huntii, 2349 nucleotides. It is a transcript of the gene named guanylate kinase, with no coding region annotated. The record is from RefSeq and is a predicted model, not a curated record. NCBI's taxonomy places the organism in Eukaryota, Metazoa, Arthropoda, Insecta, Hymenoptera, Apidae. The transcript has 7 exons.
UAAUUCACAAUGCGGCGGUGUACGCGCAGACGCCCAUUAUUAAACGAAAACGUGGUAGCUGUUUGUUCCGACUGCGGACUUUCGUGCUUUACUUUGCUAAGAGCUGUUAUCAUAUUUUUUUAGUAGUUCUUACUACUAUAUUAUAUGUUUUUUAAAAUUUCUAUAUCUAUAAAGUGCAUCCGAUCAACUUUUCCUAUUAAGUAAGUUGCACAAUUACGACACAUUUUCCUUCAAGAAAUCAAUAUUCCGAAGAUACCACACGUUAAUUAUCGUUCCAUGUAGAUAUGCCUGCACUUACACGUUCUCUUCAAUUGUGUGAAAAUUAAUUGAAUUAUAAAUACGUAAGAGUAUGGCAUCACUCUCAUGUUUUAGAACAUUAGCAUUAGGUGCUUGUAAUAUGUUUCAUAAAGGCUCACGUCCAUUAGUUUUGUGUGGUCCUUCAGGAAGUGGAAAAAGUACGCUUUUAAAAAAGCUUUUUGAAGAAUUUCCAGAUACAUUUGGUUAUUCUGUGUCUCAUACCACUAGAAGUCCUAGACCAGGCGAGGAAGAUGGGAAACAUUAUCAUUUUACUACUAAAGAUAAGAUGCAAAAACAAAUAGAACAGGAUGAAUUUCUUGAAACUGCUACAUUCAGUGGGAAUAUGUAUGGUACUAGUAAACGUGCAGUAGAAGAAGUACAAAAAGCAGGUAAAAUUUGCGUAUUAGAUGUUGAAGUGCAAGGUGUAAAACAAAUAAAACAAAGUUCUUUGGAUCCAUUGUAUAUAUUUAUUAAAGCACCAUCUAUCGAAGAAUUGGAGAAAAGAUUAAGAGCUAGGAAAACAGAAACAGAAGAUGCUUUGCAACGGAGAUUAUCCAUUGCUAGGCUAGAGAUAGAAUAUGAAUUAUUUUAGGAGAAAAGCCUGGUAAUUUUGACAUAGUGAUUGAAAAUGACAAUGUUUCUAAGGCAUAUGAAAAACUAAGAGACUUUUUGAUGUCAAAUCUAAAGCAAGGUGAUGCAGGACGUUAAACAUAUGCCUCUUAAAGAUAUAUUAUUCUUUAAAAUCAUAAAUCAUAAAUUAUAAUUAUUUUUAUAUAUCAUUGUGUAAAUUAUAAUAAUAGAUAAUUAUUACACGAUGAAGUGCAUGAUUAACUUAUGUCCAAGGAUCGGAUUACUAGAUCAAAGAAUAAAUUUAUGCAAAUAAUUUUAUACAAUGCUAAAUAAAUCUUAAUAUUGCAAGAGUAAAUAUAGGUAUACAUGCUUCAAGCUUGUUACAUGCAUGGUACUAAUGUAAAAAUUCAGAUUAAUGUCACUUUAAAGGCAUUCUAAAGCAAGGAUUACAAAUGUAUAGUUUAAAGUAAAACUAUGAAUAAGGAAACAAGGAUAUGCAGAAUGUUCAUACAAUUUGUUUCUAUCCAAUACUUAAAGAGACUAAGUAUAUGUCAAGUAACAGAGACUCGUUAAGUUAUUUUUGUAGUUUCUUUUACAGUUCUGUAUAUACUUUUACUUCGACUUGAAUAGGAAAAACAUUGUACAGUAUUUACAUAAUAGUAACUUAUAGAUCGAUUCAGUGCAAUACUCUAGUGCUUUAAUGCACAUAGAAUGUGUGCAAGUGUCAAAUUAUUUUAGAGUAAUGAUAUCUUGCCGAAUGUAUACAAAGGACAGUCAAUUUAUGCGAAGACGGAACUUUACUACAGGCUAGAUAUCUAAAAAGAAAACUGAAGAAUUAACUAUAAUGUUUUAGAUGUAGCUAACUGAGACUAUUCACCAGACGAAGUUGUGUUCCAAUAGUGUAGAUUACUUAUAAAGUACUUGUGGUUUUGUCCUUGUCAAACAUCGUAUACUCACUGCACAAAUCGAGAUUCAUUCAUAAAUUCAAUUACACUUGAAUGUAUCGUAUUGCCGAUUUAUCAGAAGGGAAAGGCAUUACACAAACAUCCCUUUAAGAGCAUUCAUCAUCGAAUAGACAUAUUUCACACGUUUUAUUUAUUUGCAAAUAUUUUCGAAAAAUUAUAUUCGAAAUAAAUAUAUUUUUAUGUUAGAUAAAAAUCGACGAAAUUUUCGAAAUUCUUACAAUUAUUGUCGUUUAUCUGUUUCUUACACGUCACAUUUGUACAUGGUACAAGAUAUGAAUAUGAAACAUUUUAUUUAUCGAAUAUCAGCAUGUUGUUGCUUCCACGAGCGCGGAAGAAAUUACAUAUUUUCCUAUAUACGGGGUGUUAUCGCUUACUUGUUAGUACGUGUGUAUGGUUACAUAAAUAUAACGAUAAAGCGACGUUUGAAUGAACAAGGCGUAGCGAAAUAUCUAUGCAUUGUUAAAGAAAAUUGUAUCAUUGUUGUAUCGUAAUAUAUCGAAUAAAUAUUUCAACCGUA